CAACGCGACCCCAGGUCAGGCGGGGCUACCCGCUGAGUUUAAGCAUAUCAAUAAG
Molecule: ribosomal RNA, 55 nt
Filed under: Ficus dryepondtiana
Lineage: Eukaryota; Viridiplantae; Streptophyta; Magnoliopsida; Rosales; Moraceae
Description: partial 28S ribosomal RNA
Source: RNAcentral